Molecule: long non-coding RNA, 548 nt
Filed under: Capsicum annuum
Lineage: Eukaryota; Viridiplantae; Streptophyta; Magnoliopsida; Solanales; Solanaceae
Description: long non-coding RNA (CANN_LNC007147)
Source: RNAcentral
UAGAUAUGGUAUAUAAUUUACUCUAGUCAUGUAGUAUUUACCAAAAGCUUUUUCUAAUAUGAUUUUUCUUAUAUCUGCUACUUUUAUAUUUCUAAGUGCAUACAAAAUAAGUAUUUUAAAUUUAUCUACCAUCACAUCAGAUAAAUUAUCAUUCAUUUUCAUAAAAUUGCUUUUUUCAAAAUAUUUCCUUCAACCAUGUACAUAACAAAAUAUGGUCAUCUUAGCUUACUAUAUACUAGAUUAUUCUUAAAUAAUAUGUUCUUCCAUCACUAUUAACAUGGUAAUUCGGAUACUUUUUCCCUUAAACAGCGCCUCUACUCUGGUUACUCCCCGCCACGGCUUCUUGCCUCAAUGGUUUCACCUUUAGGAUGGCAUAGUCCUUAGGGAUAUUUCUCCGUUUCCUCUUUGUUAAUAAACUUCUUAACAUAUUAUUCUUCGAAUAAUUCUACUAUAAAGUAACUAAUAUGAAUUAUUUUAUCAUAUCAUGAUUGUUGGGAAUUAUGAAAUUAGCUAUUCAUAAUCAUAAAUAGAUAUACCUGUUCCGGUAG